GGAAAAUUGGUGGAUUUCAAGGAAUUAAGCAAGUAAAGAUGGUGAGUCUUCUAACAAUGGUGAAGACAUUGUGCCAGAGGACAAAGAAUAGGAGCAUUUUGAACUCUCGAUAUCAUAAGGAUCGGCCUAACAUGUAAUCAUUAACGUGUAUGGUCCAUCGCAAAUAGGUACAGUCAUCUCAUAGCAUUUUAUCCUGAGUCACUCCGCUAUUAGAGGUUGAGUCAUAGCACUUUAUUUAUUAAGUUGCAAAUGGAUAUUGAUUUUGUUAUACGUAAAUAAUUUAAGAAUAUGA
Non-coding RNA from Theobroma cacao (cacao), 292 nucleotides. NCBI's taxonomy places the organism in Eukaryota, Viridiplantae, Streptophyta, Magnoliopsida, Malvales, Malvaceae. The record is from RefSeq and is a predicted model, not a curated record.